GUAAAUAAUAAAGGGCGUAUGGUGGAUGCCUAGGCUCUCAGAGGCGAUGAAGGACGUGAUAAGCUGCGAAAAGCUCCGUUUAGGUGCAAAUAACCUUUGAUGCGGAGAUCUCCGAAUGGGAUAACCCAAUAUGUUGAAGACAUAUUAUACCGUAAGGUAGGCAAACGCAGGGAACUGAAACAUCUAAGUACCUGCAGGAGAAGAAAACAAACGUGAUUCCCCCAGUAGCGGCGAGCGACCGGGGAUAAGCCCAAACCGUUAUUGUUUCGGCAGUAGCGGGGUAGUAGGACUGCGACAUUGAUGAAAUAAAUGAAAUGGAACACCUUGGAAAAUGUGAUCAUAGAGGGUGAUAAUCCCGUACAUGUAAGUUUAUGAAUCAUAGCAGACUCCUGAGUAAGUCGGGACACGUGUAAUCCUGACCGAAUCCGCCGGGACCAUCCGGCAAGGCUAAAUACUCCUGAGAGACCGAUAGUGAACCAGUACCGUGAGGGAAAGGUGAAAAGCACUUCGAACAGAAGAGUGAAAUAGUCCCUGAACCCAUACGCCUACAAGCAGUCGGAGCCGCUUCGUGCGGUGACGGCGUGCCUUUUGCAUAAUGAGCCUACGAGUUACUCAUCACCAGCGAGGUUAAGUACUUCAGGUACGUAAGCCGAAGCGAAAGCGAGUCUGAAUAGGGCGUCAAGUUGGUGGUGGUAGACGCGAAACCUUAGUGAUCUACCCAUGGGCAGGGUGAAGGUUUGGUAACACAAACUGGAGGCCCGAACCGGUAAACGUUGAAAAGUUUUCGGAUGACCUGUGGGUAGGGGUGAAAGGCCAAUCAAACUGGGAAAUAGCUCGUACUCUCCGAAAUGCAUUUAGGUGCAGCCUCUGUUGUUUUGUUCUAGAGGUAGAGCUACUGAUUGGAUGCGAGGGCUUCACCGCCUAUCAAAUCCGGCCAAACUCCGAAUGCUAGAACAUGAAGACAGGGAGUGAGCCAGCGGGUGCUAAGGUCCGUUGACGAAAGAGGGAGAACUCAGACCAUCAGCUAAGGUCCCCAAUUAUAUGCUAAGUUGGAAUAAAAACGGGGUGGGACUGCUUAGACAGCUAGGAUGUUGGCUUGGAAGCAGCCAUUCAUUUAAAGAGUGCGUAACAGCUCACUAGUCGAGCGGUCCUGCAUGGAUAAUACGCGGGCAUAAGCAUAUAACCGAAGCUAUGGGAUUGUAGAUGAUACAAUCGGUAGGAGAGCAUUCCAUUCAGCGUAGAAGCAGUAUCGUGAGGUAUUGUGGAGCGGAUGGAAAAGCAAAUGUAGGCAUAAGUAACGAUAAUGCGGGUGAGAACCCCGCACGCCGAAAGAUCAAGGAUUCCCCGGCAAUGUCAAUCAUCCGGGGGUAAGUCGGAUCCUAAGGGUAAGCCGAGUGGCGAUCCCGAUGGCAAACAGGUUAAUAUUCCUGUACUGAUCAUAACUGCGAUGCAGCGACGCAGAGGUGACACUGCUGCGUACUGACGGAAUAGUACGUUGAAACCCGUAUUCUUUGAUACCGGUAGUGAAGCACGCCGGUAGAGAUGAAAGGUGAUAGUACCGCAAUGCUUCGGUUGCGCGGAUAACGCAGGUAAGCUGACUGCCAAGAAAACCUGCUAAGCUUCAGGUAAUGAUCAUCCGUACUGUAAACGGACACACGUGAUCAGGUAGAAAAUACUAAGGCGCUCGAGAGAUUCAUGGUUAAGGAACUAGGCAAAAUGGUCCUGUAACUUCGGGAUAAAGGACGCUCUUGUGAAAGAGCCGCAGAUAAUAGGCCCAGGCGACUGUUUACCAAAAACACAUGGCUAUGCUAAUUCGCAAGAAGAUGUAUAUGGCCUGACACCUGCCCGGUGCCGGAAGGUUAAGAGGAGAGCUCAGAGGUAACUCGAAGGUUUGAAUUGAAGCCCCGGUAAACGGCGGCCGUAACUAUAACGGUCCUAAGGUAGCGAAAUUCCUUGUCGGGU
RNAcentral lists this ribosomal RNA (1962 nucleotides) under human gut metagenome. Its description in RNAcentral is "bacterial LSU rRNA". It matches the Rfam family "Bacterial large subunit ribosomal RNA", at positions 1 to 1977 of the family's 2925-position model. The record is from RNAcentral.